CCUACGGGUGGCAGCAGUGGGGAAUAUUGGACAAUGGGCGAUAGCCUGAUCCAGCCAUGCCGCGUGUGUGAAGAAGGCCUUCGGGUUGUAAAGCACUUUCAGUGGGGAAGAAAGCCUUGGGGCUAAUACCCUCGAGGAAGGACAUCACCCACAGAAGAAGCACCGGCUAACUCCGUGCCAGCAGCCGCGGUAAUACGGAGGGUGCGAGCGUUAAUCGGAAUUACUGGGCGUAAAGCGCGCGUAGGCGGUCUGAUAAGCCGGUUGUGAAAGCCCCGGGCUCAACCUGGGAACGGCAUCCGGAACUGUCAGGCUAGAGUGCAGGAGAGGAAGGUAGAAUUCCCGGUGUAGCGGUGAAAUGCGUAGAGAUCGGGAGGAAUACCAGUGGCGAAGGCGGCCUUCUGGACUGACACUGACGCUGAGGUGCGAAAGCGUGGGUAGCAAACAGGAUUAGAUACCCUGGUAGUC
RNAcentral lists this ribosomal RNA (465 nucleotides) under Vreelandella stevensii. Its description in RNAcentral is "partial 16S ribosomal RNA". It matches the Rfam family "Bacterial small subunit ribosomal RNA", at positions 338 to 795 of the family's 1533-position model. The record is from RNAcentral. Lineage: Bacteria; Pseudomonadati; Pseudomonadota; Gammaproteobacteria; Oceanospirillales; Halomonadaceae.